Molecule: long non-coding RNA, 627 nt
Filed under: Homo sapiens (human)
Lineage: Eukaryota; Metazoa; Chordata; Mammalia; Primates; Hominidae
Description: non-protein coding lnc-PDE8A-2:4
Source: RNAcentral
AUGAGCCACCCAGCCUGGACCCCGUGCAGAGCUUCUCCCAAGAGGCAGUGGACACAGGCAGGAUCCUCUACCUGCACUCCCGCCCUGAGGCAUGCCUUCUCGCUGGAUGUGGCCUCGGCCUGGGUGCUCCCCUUGAGGACGUCACGUGGAGCUGGAGGUGCUGCCUGCUGUCAUCCCCACUGGGGGCACAAAACUUCAGCAGUAGAGGGGGCACAGUCGCAGCUGCACCCUGGCCCCUCCACUGCUCCGCGUUGCCAGGUCCUACUUCCCCACUCUCCCGGGCCUUGGCCUGCAGGUGCUGGAGCCACCCCGGCAUGGGGCCCUGCAGAAGGAGGAUGGGCCUCAAGCCAGGACCCUCAGCACCUUCUGCUGGAGAGAGGUGGAAGAGCAUCUGAUCCAGUACCUGCACGAUGGGAGCAAGACACUGACGGUUUUGUCCUGAUGGCUAAUGCCUCUGAGAUGGACCGCCAGAGCCAUCCUGUGGCCUUCACUGUCACCAUCCUGCCUGUCAAUGGCCAACCCCCGACCUCAUACAAACUCAGGCCUGCAGGGGCCCUGGACGGAGGCAUCCACUUUGGCCUCUCUGACGGUGAACAUACUUCCUCCAGACACUUAGUUUCUGAGUGA